UUGAGAUCCAAACGCCAAUUUUCAAAAUUUUGUCUCCGCCAAAACAUCUUUCCCAUCCCUCCUUACUAUAUAACGGUCUGAAAAUGCUUUCCCUCUCUCCCUCUAUCCUUCUAUCUUUACGAAUCUUCUUCAUUACAUGGCUUCUUCAGAUCCCAUCUCUUCUCGCCACUACACUUACAACAGAAAACAAAAAUCUCUAGGCCUUCUCUGCACUAAUUUCUUGAGCUUGUACAACCGAGACACCGUUCACUUGAUUGGCCUAGACGAUGCUGCCACCCGAUUAGGUGUUGAGAGACGGCGGAUCUAUGACAUUGUGAAUGUCCUGGAGAGUAUCGGGGUACUCUCAAGGAAAGCAAAAAAUCAAUACACAUGGAGAGGGUUUGCCGCAAUCCCUCUCACUCUACAGGAUCUCAAGGAAGAGGGGUUGAAGGAGAAUUCUAAUUCCCUACGUGGGCCUGGAAACCAUGAUAAAGUUUCCGACGACGAAGAUGACGAGGAAACACAGUCCAAUCCCGCCGCUACUGGAAGUCAAAGUGACAAGUUGAACCCUAAUUCUACUCUUCCUAAACCUCUGAAAAAUGAAAAUCGAAGAGAAAAAUCUCUGGCUCUGCUUACCCAGAAUUUUGUCAAGCUCUUUGUCUGCUCUAAUGUGGAAUUGAUCUCCCUUGACGAGGCUGCAAAAUUGCUACUUGGGGAUGCCCAUAAUACGUCUGUAAUGAGAACUAAAGUUAGACGCCUAUAUGACAUCGCAAAUGUGCUAUCCUCCAUGAACCUUAUUGAGAAGACCCAUACAAUGGAUACACGAAAACCAGCAUUCAGGUGGCUCGGUUCUGAAGGGAAGACAUGGGAUGAGACACUUCACAAAUCAAACCUAAACGACUCUAGGAAAAGGGCGUUUGGAAGUGAUAUCACUAACAUCAGUUUUGAGAGGAAUAAAGUGGAAUUGUUCACGAGUGGGGACUUGAAUCCGAAUCCUAAGAAGCCAAGAAUGGAAAAUGGUAGUGGGCUGGGUGAGGCAGACGAAAACAAUUUAAAACAAGGCAUAAAACAAGCUUCAAAGAGCUAUGAAUUUGGUCCUUUCGCUCCAGCUUGCGUGCCCAAAGUUGGAGCCUCUCAGAAUAAUAAUAUGAAGCAGGUGCAUGACUGGGGCAGUCUUGCAACUGCACAUAGCCCUCAGUAUCAAAAUGAAGCCGAGGGAUAGGUCAGCUUCCUCCAACCGUUAUCCUACAUAAAAAAACUGGUUCUUAGACAUAUGAACCGUAAGAACUGGCGUCGGAGCCUUGAGAGAACUCUUCUCCCAUUACAUGGAAGCAUGGAAAUUGUGGUACUCAGAAAUUGCUAGGAAGAGGCCAUUACAAAUUUUGUAAACGUAUGCCAAAGUCAAACUAUAGGUAUGUUUGGAUUUAGUAAAAUUUAGUCUGGAAACUUGGUUUCAGAGAAGCAAGACUUGGGAUACUAGUGUAAACUUAAGUUUGCAAAUUUUAAUCCAAACAUGGGGUGUAACUUUCCUCACUAGAGAAUAUCUGUAGUAUGCAUUCUCUUCAUGCGUUUGUAGAGCUGAGCUUCCAUUUACUGCCUUUUCAACCGUGAUGUUGACCGACUGAAUCAGCUUAGGCAGUUCUUGCAAAUUAUUUAUCACAUUUGUUUGUUGUAUAGUUUCUACCCUUUAUUUAAUGUAGCAGGAAAUCUUGUGCACUACUCCUGUACUGCAGUCUGGAGCUGCUAAUUUAAGGAAAAUAAAAUUCGAGUUGUUUUAAAGGUUUCCAAA
This is an RNA transcript of Glycine soja, 1768 nucleotides long. It is a transcript of the gene named E2F transcription factor-like E2FE, with no coding region annotated. The record is from RefSeq and is a predicted model, not a curated record. The transcript has 12 exons. Lineage: Eukaryota; Viridiplantae; Streptophyta; Magnoliopsida; Fabales; Fabaceae.